RNAcentral lists this ribosomal RNA (543 nucleotides) under uncultured bacterium. RNAcentral describes it as "bacterial SSU rRNA". It matches the Rfam family "Bacterial small subunit ribosomal RNA", at positions 408 to 944 of the family's 1533-position model. The record is from RNAcentral.
AAGAAGGUUUUCGGAUCGUAAAGCUCUGUUGUAAGUCAAGAACGGGUGUGAGAGUGGAAAGUUCACACUGUGACGGUAGCUUACCAGAAAGGGACGGCUAACUACGUGCCAGCAGCCGCGGUAAUACGUAGGUCCCGAGCGUUGUCCGGAUUUAUUGGGCGUAAAGCGAGCGCAGGUGGUUUAUUAAGUCUGGUGUAAAAGGCAGUGGCUCAACCAUUGUAUGCAUUGGAAACUGGUAGACUUGAGUGCAGGAGAGGAGAGUGGAAUUCCAUGUGUAGCGGUGAAAUGCGUAGAUAUAUGGAGGAACACCGGUGGCGAAAGCGGCUCUCUGGCCUGUAACUGACACUGAGGCUCGAAAGCGUGGGGAGCAAACAGGAUUAGAUACCCUGGUAGUCCACGCCGUAAACGAUGAGUGCUAGAUGUAGGGAGCUAUAAGUUCUCUGUAUCGCAGCUAACGCAAUAAGCACUCCGCCUGGGGAGUACGACCGCAAGGUUGAAACUCAAAGGAAUUGACGGGGCCCGCACAAGCGGUGGGUCGACCGG